Molecule: ribosomal RNA, 295 nt
Filed under: Staphylococcus epidermidis NIHLM031
Lineage: Bacteria; Bacillati; Bacillota; Bacilli; Caryophanales; Staphylococcaceae
Description: partial 23S ribosomal RNA
Rfam family: Bacterial large subunit ribosomal RNA
Source: RNAcentral
AGUUCGGUCCCUAUCCGUCGUGGGCGUAGGAAAUUUGAGAGGAGCUGUCCUUAGUACGAGAGGACCGGGAUGGACAUACCUCUGGUGUACCAGUUGUCGUGCCAACGGCAUAGCUGGGUAGCUAUGUAUGGACGGGAUAAGUGCUGAAAGCAUCUAAGCAUGAAGCCCCCCUCAAGAUGAGAUUUCCCAACUUCGGUUAUAAGAUCCCUCGAAGAUGACGAGGUUAAUAGGUUCGAGGUGGAAGCGUGGUGACACGUGGAGCUGACGAAUACUAAUCGAUCGAAGACUUAAUCAA